AAAUAACCAGCCUCUGAACAGUGGUCAUGACCUUUACCUAUUGAGCACAAAAUGUCAACAGUCACAGAUAAUCCCACUGAUUAAUGAAGAACAAACAUACACAAACAUUAAAUUAUGACUUCCUCCUUUUCUUCUCUUCCCCUUUCCAUGCAGGGUCCUACCUCUUUCUGAACACAUAUACAGAUGUCAUGUUAAUAUGAAACAAAGAAAAAGAAACAUCUUUGUUCAAACUUUGCAGGCUCUGUCGACAGUUUAAUUUAUGACAGCUAAAUAGCAGUAAUGUCUGAGGAACUGUACACUAAGCCUGGCAGCGUCACGGCGGAUCGCUGUGAUCAGGACAUAACGGAAAACAAAGUGGACAUUUAUGUCAGUGCAGAAAGUCUGAGAGUGUACGACAGUCCCUGGAUGGAGAAUGCAUCACUAAACUCAGCAGGAACUGAACACACAGGGUCUUUUGUCAGAAAAAUCUCUGUAAGGAGGAAUCCCAGCAGAGGUGAAAUUUUUCUGUGUGUGCUGUGUCUUCUCCUCCUGAUUCUUAUCAUCUGGCUCACAGUCAAAAUGAAUAAAGACAAAACCAGUUGGGAACUAGAGAGAGAACAGUUAAUGUCCACUCCAGACAAUGAAGGAUCAGUUAACAGCAAACAACACUGAACUCAGCAAAGAAAGAGAUGACAUGCGCAGGAGGCUCAGCAAAAAGACUCCACCUGGAAAACAAUGAAACUGAAAACACUUCAGCAUCGCACACCGGCACCCACGUCCCAGCCCAGGUCCCAGUCCUGGUCCCAGCCCUGGUCCACAUUGCCUGCACCACAGCGGAGGAGAAGCAAUCCCCUCGGGAACAGGAACCAAAGGCUCCUCCACCUUUGGUUCCUGUCUCCAAGUGGGUCUUUCCUCCUCCGUCUCUGGUUCCUGUCUCCGAGUGAGUUGAUUCUCCUCCGCCUCUGGUUCCUGUUCCCAAGGUGUCCCAUAAAGGGUUGCUCCUCCUCCACCUCUGUUUCCUGUUUCAGAAGGUGUCCCAGAAAAGGAUGUUCCUGCUUAGUCUCUGGUUGCUGUCUCAGAGUGGGUGCUGCUGGACUCCCGUGCCUUGGUUCCUGUUCUUGUGCCUGUGGGGUAUGCUGCUCUCAGGGCAUUCUGUGGCUCACCAGAGGUGUCUCAGCUCCUCUGUCCCUUGGUCUCUGGCCUUUCAUCCAUGGGAUCUUUGCCUCGCUGGCCACUCUGGGCUGUCCUGCCACACCAGCUCCUGUCAUCACGGCCUCCACGCCGCUCCGGCCGCUGGCUGUCUCAGCUGCUUCUGCCUGCACUUCGGCCGACCUCCAGAACAUUCCCUCCUGUCUGCCUGGCCGCUGGCUGCUCUCCAGAGAACAGUUUCGUGGACUGCUUUUGUUUUUUUUGUUUUUUUUGUUUUGUUGUCUUUUUCUGGUAGGAUGGGUUGGAUCAGAUAUUCCAGCACCUGUCCCAGUUUUUGCCAGUGGAAAUGCAAAAAAGAUGCGUAUCAACUUGUCUUUUAUCAACCCAGAUCGAUUGGUGGAAACUGGUCUUUAGUUGGUAGCAAUUAGAGAGGUUUUUAAAAAAAAAACUUUUUUUCUCAGUUCUAGUGCAGUGCUAAAUUUUGCUGUCUACAUAAGUAAACACCUUAUGGAAAAAGUGAACUCGCAGAAUUAAGUAGAUUAAUUACAUUAAUUUUGAUUACAUUAAUUUUUACAAAACAUGAGAAGUGUUUGCAGUUACAUUGUAGGACAGAUGGCAUUUCUUGAUUUUGUAAUUGAACCUGUUUAAAAUGUUUCUCUGUCUCAGGUACCAACGGGUUAGAUAUGUUACAUCAACCAACCAAAAAAAUAAAUAAAUAAAAUUUAACUGACAAGUUAAGAUGAAGAUAAAUAUUGGAGGAAUAUUCUCUUAUGAGUUGUAUCAGCAAGGAAAGGGUUUUUCGUCUGUUUUCACAUUUGGUUUCAGAUUUAAAUACCUGUUACAUCAGCAUUUUUCUCUUACAAAUGUUUACAUAUUACACAUAACAGCUGAUUUGUCAGAAACUUUAUUGAACAUUUUUAUACAAAUAUGUGAAAUGUGUUUUUGGAUUAAACUACAGCUUAACCCUGAACCCUUUCAAGAACGCUGUCAAGACAUUGGGACCCUCAAAGUCCUGACUCCAAUCUGGACCGCGAGGCAUGUCAAUUUAAGUUUUGAAUUAUAAAACGCUAUUAUCCUAGGUUUUGUUCAAAGUGAAUCUUGCAUAAAUAAAUAAAUAAAUAGUUUAUAAUGUUAAAUAAAGUGUCAAUGGAUAUUAUUUACAGCGAUCUAGUGAUAACAACUGUGUUGAAGUUUUGCACUGUAUGGUGACAGCCAAUGAGCAGAGGGCUACUAUAAAUGACAGGAACCAGUAGCCUAUCAGUACACAGGGGUGUGUGACGUUAGAACCAAUCAGAAGCAGAGUAGGGCGGGCAUUUGGAUCAGCUCCGUUAGCAGAAAACCAAAGGAAGCCCAGUGCUUCAAAAGUGCUCACAACUUCAAAAAGUUCCAGAACUUCAAAAGGUUCCUACAGUUGGAAAGCCCCAAGAUGACUCACUUUGAAUGAGAAAGGAUGCCCCUGUCAAAGUUUUUCAAGAAGAGAAAAGUGGACCCAGAAAACAGGGAGCUUGAAGUAUGCCUUCAUUUUUCCCGAAUGUAGCACUAAGCCAGUGUGUUUGAACCAUUGCUUUAAUGCUAAUGUAAAACGUAAUUAUGACACAAAGCAUUACCAUUUCAAAACUGUUCUGUUUUUUACUUCAAAUGUCA
Molecule: long non-coding RNA, 2772 nt
Organism: Melanotaenia boesemani (Boeseman's rainbowfish)
Lineage: Eukaryota; Metazoa; Chordata; Actinopteri; Atheriniformes; Melanotaeniidae
Exons: 4
Source: RefSeq, a predicted model, not a curated record